GAUGAACGCUGGCGGCGUGCCUAAUACAUGCAAGUCGAGCGAACAGACGAGGAGCUUGCUCCUCUGACGUUAGCGGCGGACGGGUGAGUAACACGUGGAUAACCUACCUAUCAGACUGGGAUAACUUCGGGAAACCGGAGCUAAUACCGGAUAAUAUAUUGAACCGCAUGGUUCACUAGUGAAAGACGGUUUUGCUGUCACUUAUAGAUGGAUCCGCGCCGCAUUAGCUAGUUGGUAAGGUAACGGCUUACCAAGGCAACGAUGCGUAGCCGACCUGAGAGGGUGAUCGGCCACACUGGAACUGAGACACGGUCCAGACUCCUACGGGAGGCAGCAGUAGGGAAUCUUCCGCAAUGGGCGAAAGCCUGACGGAGCAACGCCGCGUGAGUGAUGAAGGUCUUCGGAUCGUAAAACUCUGUUAUUAGGGAAGAACAAAUGUGUAAGUAACUAUGCACGUCUUGACGGUACCUAAUCAGAAAGCCACGGCUAACUACGUG
RNAcentral lists this ribosomal RNA (497 nucleotides) under uncultured bacterium. RNAcentral's name for it is "partial 16S ribosomal RNA". It matches the Rfam family "Bacterial small subunit ribosomal RNA", at positions 28 to 507 of the family's 1533-position model. The record is from RNAcentral.